CCCGUGAAGGACUUCACUAGGUUUGGCAGUUCGUUUUUGGCUGUGGUGUGAGCGGGUUGAAGAAAAUGUCAACCAGGGUUAACGUAAACUGGUGCUUCUUUUUGGUUAAAGUAGGUGUUGCUGGCUAGGCCUGUAUCUGUUGUCUACCUCUGAAUGGCUAGUGGACGGUUAAGUCAAUCACAUUACUGUGGAUCUGGAGUCCCGUAGAGGCCAGACCAGAAUUACAGACUGCGCAAGUGGAGCACUGAAGAGCACACGAGCACCACCUGCUGGAGUGUCAUGCAGUUAUUUGCUGUUUCAAUAGAUAAGUGGAAAUAGAUGAAUUUCAGACUGUUUGAACUCCUCAUAAUUUUCUGCCUAGUUGCAGAGUGGUCUAGUCAAAUGAAGACUGCAGUUAUGGAAAAAAGAUAUGGUUAGUGAAUUGCACAAUUACCAGCAAUACAUAAAUUAAAAUUGCCUAUAAAUAGCUGCAAACAUUCAUUUUUGUAUCAACAAGGGAACAGCUGUCUGCUUAACUAACUUUUGAUUUGUUUGCUAUUUGUCAUAUGCUUCAGAAGUAUGUAUUUUUGUAAUGAUGUACUCGCUAUUGUUCUCAAUCUUUGUAAAUUAAACAUAUUUUGAGCUGGAUGUGCUUCAGACCUGUAUGUGCAAUGUAAUCAUCCUCAAAUCCUGUUGUCACCAUUGAUGAAGUUACUACUGAAUUAAAAAUGUGAUUUGUGCAUAUGUUGGAAUAUCCAGGGUGGAGGAAGAAAAUUGUGGGUAUUAAUACUUGAAUAGCUGUAAAUCUUAAUUAGCUGACUAUUUUUGAUAUACACUACAAUGUGAAUUCUUCAACGUGAAUUGGCUAUAACGUGAUUGAAGAGUUUAGACCAUUAUUUGUAGAACACAAGUUUUUCUUCCUUGUAUUGGCUAUAACAUGAAUCUGAUCCCAUUGGUUUAAAUGGUGCUGCUAUUAUGCAAUUUUCAUAACAGGUUCACACAGGAGUGGAAUUAUUCUGUUAUAUCAGAACAGUCUGUAGUUGAAUGGCUGGCUGAAGUGAAAAUGUUCUUUUUAUCUGCAAUAUUAACUGCCUUCGAGAACUCCUGGAGAUCUUCAAGCCUCCUGGGCAGUGUCCAACCUUCAGUAUUGUGCCUGAUGCAACUUUAAAGGUGAUAUGUUUUCUUCAAUUUUGUGUUUCAAAUUCAUUCUUGAUAGAAUGCUUGGGUUAUUGCUACUUUUGAGAGUAUUCAGUUUGGACUGUUUGUUGAAAUCUGCUACAACUCAAAUUGUCCAAUGCUUCAGAUUGUUUUGAAUCUAUACUAAUGCCUUUAACAAACCUGCCAUGUGGUCUGUUAAUGUAUUUUGUGAGCCUCCAGAAACUUUGAAAUUUCAGGUAUGUAACUUCUGAGCUCUUUUUGUAUUGGUUAGAUUUAAUAUUCCUUGAGCACAAUACCUUAGACAUUCAAACAUUUGGAGUGUACUGGUAUUGUUUGAACUGAUACUUAAAGAGAAAAAAAUUACUUAAUUCCAGGCGCAUGCAACUGAGAAUUAUGUGAUUUAAAUCGUCAGCAAUAGAAGAAAGAAACCUUUAAUAAGGUAACGUCUAGUCGUGAAUUCACGGUUCAAGUGAAAUUGGCUUCGUCUGACAGAACGUUUAGCCCACUUUUUUCUUUAGUGUAUGGAGAGAAACUGAAUUCUUGUAACUUGGGAUCCUCCAGUUCCUAAAUCAUCUGGUUGUAUUUCUUUCAACCUGAGACACCAGGGACGAACAAGAAACAAAAUAUUAUGCAAUCUGCACUUACCCUUUCGUUUUCUCCAAUCCCCUCACUCCACCCAAAAACAAACUCUAAAAUGACAAACUAUUAUGUAGCAUCAGGGGAGGCAUGAGUUAAUCCACAAUAUUACUUACAGCAGAAAACACUUUUUUUGCUUUUUUUUAAAAAAAACAGUAUUCUGCACUGUAGAUAUGUUUUUAAUUUAGCAGAUUUUUAAAAAUCAUGCAUAACUUCAAAGGCUCCUAAUUUAUCAGUUUUUGUUUUAAACCAGUCUGUUAACUUAAUCUAAUUACACAAUGGGAUAAGUCAUACUUUGAAUUUAGUAACGAAACGUAACAAAAAUGUCUCCAAAUAAAACACAUUUACUCUCUUUUUGGUAACAUUCAAUUAAUAGACAAAAAUGUUCUACUUUGUUGGAGGAAUUGUUUGCUUUACCUAUAGAUUACCAAUAUAGGAUUGAAUACAGAUACAAUUCUUGAAGUACAACCGCAUUAAAAAUACUGCAGUGUCAAGGAACUGAACUUUGACCAAACUGUCAUUAAAGUCUAUCAGUGGCAUUUUGUUUUUUUUUUUAAAAACUUCAGACAUUUUUGAUUUAAGCAUUUGCUUUGGCAUGUAUGUAGCCCCUUUUUGUGUUAUGGAACCAGAUGUUGUCAAGAUACUUAGAGAUAUGUGGAAAUAUAAUACCUCAUUCUAUCAUCUGUCAAUUAAGCAAAAUUAGACACAAACGGGAGAUCUUCAUUUUUAUCGAUGGAAAACAAUUAGUACGUUCACAGUACUGAUCUUUUAUACAAGAAUGUGGGUGGCACGGUGGCACAGUGGUUAGCACUGCUGCCUCACAGUGCCAGAGACCCGGCUUCAAUUCCCGCCUCAGGCGACUGACUGUGAAGUUUGCACGUUCUCCCCGUGUCUGCGUGGUUUCCUCCGGGUGCUCUGGUUUCCUCACACAGUCCAAAGAUGUGCGGGUUAGGUAAAUUGGCCAUACUAAAUUGCCCGUAGUGUUAGGUAAGGGGUAUAUGUAGGGGUAUGGGUGGGUUGCGCUUCGGCGGGUCGGUGUGGACAAAUUUCGUACAAUGUGGAUUCCCUUUUUUUUCUCAUCUCCCCAAUUUGCUUGCCACGUCUUUGGGCAUACUUUUAAAUGCACUGCUACGUUUUGUAAACUGGGUUAGUUUCUCACAUUAAACAAAAAAAAAAUGAAGGUUAUACAUUCAAAUAUUGAGCUGCCUGUGAACAGUGUUAUUUCUUCUCUUGAUCGUAUGUUCUAAUCUUGUGUACACAGUUCUCCAUCCAUCCAUGUUUUUAACUUACACACUUGAUGCAAUUUCUGUAUUGAAGAUUUUAAUGUAAUUUAUUUUGGAAGAACGAAGCUCAACUUCACUUUGGAUGCUAAUAUUGACAGCUUGAAUAUGGAAGAAAUUGGAAUACAUUUACAGUGCUGGUUACAAGUAAUUUAUUUCCCAGAUAUUAGUUCCUUGUUUUACCUUCAAUUAUCUUAAAGCUGUGUUGUGCUGUUUUUGGAGUUUUCACACAAUAUAGCAGUGGUUAAGGCUGACAUUGAGAAAACUCCAGUGUUAAUCGACAUGAUGGUUCUAAUACAAGAUCAUUGCAAAUGAUGUACUUUCAGAAGCUUCACACAAUUAAAAUACACCUAAAUUGA
This is a long non-coding RNA of Hemiscyllium ocellatum (epaulette shark), 3412 nucleotides long. RefSeq lists it as uncharacterized. NCBI's taxonomy places the organism in Eukaryota, Metazoa, Chordata, Chondrichthyes, Orectolobiformes, Hemiscylliidae. The transcript has 3 exons. The record is from RefSeq and is a predicted model, not a curated record.